RNAcentral lists this non-coding RNA (73 nucleotides) under Paracoccus denitrificans PD1222. The record is from RNAcentral. Lineage: Bacteria; Pseudomonadati; Pseudomonadota; Alphaproteobacteria; Rhodobacterales; Paracoccaceae.
GGCCCCGGCAGCGGGGCCGUCGCCUUUUGACUGAAACGGACCACCUCAGGUCCAAAGCAACGGAAGACAGAAA